RNAcentral lists this ribosomal RNA (269 nucleotides) under uncultured bacterium. RNAcentral describes it as "partial 16S ribosomal RNA". It matches the Rfam family "Bacterial small subunit ribosomal RNA", at positions 84 to 353 of the family's 1533-position model. The record is from RNAcentral.
UUUGAUGGCGACCGGCGCACGGGUGAGUAACACGUAUCCAACCUGCCGAUGACUCGGGGAUAGCCUUUCGAAAGAAAGAUUAAUACCCGAUGGCAUAGUUCUUCCGCAUGGUGGAACUAUUAAAGAAUUUCGGUCAUCGAUGGGGAUGCGUUCCAUUAGGUUGUUGGCGGGUAACGGCCCACCAAGCCUUCGAUGGAUAGGGGUUCUGAGAGGAAGGUCCCCCACAUUGGAACUGAGACACGGUCCAAACUCCUACGGGAGGCAGCAUG